AAUAGAUACCCCGGUAGUCCACGCCGUAAACGAUGAGUGCUAAGUGUUAGGGGGUUUCCGCCCCUUAGUGCUGCAGCUAACGCAUUAAGCACUCCGCCUGGGGAGUACGGUCGCAAGACUGAAACUCAAAGGAAUUGACGGGGGCCCGCACAAGCGGUGGAGCAUGUGGUUUAAUUCGAAGCAACGCGAAGAACCUUACCAGGUCUUGACAUCCCACUGACCGCUAUGGAGACAUAGCUUUCCCUUCGGGGACAGUGGUGACAGGUGAUGCAUGGUUGUCGUCAGCUCGUGUCGUGAGAUGUUGGGUUAAGUCCCGCAACGAGCGCAACCCUUGAUCUUAGUUGCCAUCAUUUAGUUGGGCACUCUAAGGUGACUGCCGGUGACAAACCGGAGGAAGGUGGGGAUGACGUCAAAUCAUCAUGCCCCUUAUGACCUGGGCUACACACGUGCUACAAUGGACGGUACAAACGGUUGCCAACCCGCGAGGGGGAGCUAAUCCGAUAAAACCGUUCUCAGUUCGGAUUGUAGGCUGCAACUCGCCUA
RNAcentral lists this ribosomal RNA (543 nucleotides) under uncultured bacterium. Its description in RNAcentral is "bacterial SSU rRNA". It matches the Rfam family "Bacterial small subunit ribosomal RNA", at positions 777 to 1318 of the family's 1533-position model. The record is from RNAcentral.